Molecule: ribosomal RNA, 545 nt
Filed under: uncultured archaeon
Lineage: Archaea
Description: bacterial SSU rRNA
Rfam family: Archaeal small subunit ribosomal RNA
Source: RNAcentral
CGGGGUGCACCAGGCGCGAAACCUCUGCAAUAGGCGAAAGCUUGACAGGGUUACUCUGAGUGAUGUCCGCUAAGGGCAUCUUUUGGCACUUCUAAAAAUAGUGUAGAAUAAGGGGUGGGCAAGUCUGGUGUCAGCCGCCGCGGUAAUACCAGCACCCCGAGUGGUCGGGACGAUUAUUGGGCCUAAAGCAUCCGUAGCCGGUUCUGCAAGUCUUCCGUUAAAUCCACCUGCUCAACAGAUGGGCUGCGGAGGAUACUACAGGGCUAGGAGGCGGGAGAGGCAAGCGGUACUCAGUGGGUAGGGGUAAAAUCCUCUGAUCCACUGAAGACCACCAGUGGCGAAGGCGGCUUGCCAGAACGCGCUCGACGGUGAGGGAUGAAAGCUGGGGGAGCAAACCGGAUUAGAUACCCGGGUAGUCCCAGCUGUAAACGAUGCAGACUCGGUGAUGGGUUGGCUUCGAGCCAACCCAGUGCCGCAGGGAAGCCGUUAAGUCUGCCGCCUGGGGAGUACGGUCGCAAGACUGAAACUUAAAGGAAUUGGCGGGG